CACACACACACUCACAUACUCACCUCAACACCAGAGACUUACACAGCACAUCGUCAAGUGACGUGUUUGACUCUACCUGUCUACCACUCUCCCCUUCAUUUACCUUCGGCAAGAGAGGUCAUACUUAUCGUUGCGACCCCCCGGUGUCCUUGCCUAUCGUUUCGUUCUGUGUCUUUCAACUACCUCCUCCUCACGGAUGAACACCGUUCGGCAUGAGUGGAAUGC
Caenorhabditis elegans is the source of this 225-nucleotide non-coding RNA. NCBI's taxonomy places the organism in Eukaryota, Metazoa, Nematoda, Chromadorea, Rhabditida, Rhabditidae. The record is from Ensembl.